UGGGGAAUAUUGGACAAUGGGCGCAAGCCUGAUCCAGCCAUGCCGCGUGAGUGAUGAAGGCCUUAGGGUUGUAAAGCUCUUUUGUCCGGGACGAUAAUGACGGUACCGCAAGCAUAAGCCCCGGCUAACUUCGUGCCAGCAGCCGCGGUAAUACGAAGGGGGCUAGCGUUGCUCGGAAUCACUGGGCGUAAAGGGUGCGUAGGUGGGUUCUUAAGUCAGAGGUGAAAUCCUGGAGCUCAACUCCAGAACUGCCUUUGAUACUGAGAGUCUUGAGUAUGACAGAGGUGAGUGGAACUGCGAGUGUAGAGGUGAAAUUCGUAGAUAUUCGCAAGAACACCAGUGGCGAAGGCGGCUCACUGGGUCAUUACUGACGCUGAGGCACGAAAGCGUGGGGAGCAAAC
RNAcentral lists this ribosomal RNA (401 nucleotides) under uncultured bacterium. Its description in RNAcentral is "bacterial SSU rRNA". It matches the Rfam family "Bacterial small subunit ribosomal RNA", at positions 355 to 773 of the family's 1533-position model. The record is from RNAcentral.